GACGAACGCUGGCGGCGUGCUUAACACAUGCAAGUCGAACGGAAAGGCCCUGCUUUUGUGGGGUGCUCGAGUGGCGAACGGGUGAGUAACACGUGAGUAACCUGCCCUUGACUUUGGGAUAACUUCAGGAAACUGGGGCUAAUACCGGAUAGGAGCUCCUGCUGCAUGGUGGGGGUUGGAAAGUUUCGGCGGUUGGGGAUGGACUCGCGGCUUAUCAGCUUGUUGGUGGGGUAGUGGCUUACCAAGGCUUUGACGGGUAGCCGGCCUGAGAGGGUGACCGGCCACAUUGGGACUGCGGUACGGCCCAGACUCCUACGGGAGGCAGCAGUGGGGAAUAUUGCACAAUGGGCGGAAGCCUGAUGCAGCAACGCCGCGUGCGGGGUGACGGCCUUCGGGUUGUAAACCGCUUUCGCCUGUGACGAAGCGUGAGUGACGGUAAUGGGUAAAGAAGCACCGGCUAACUACGUG
Molecule: ribosomal RNA, 468 nt
Filed under: uncultured bacterium
Lineage: Bacteria
Description: partial 16S ribosomal RNA
Rfam family: Bacterial small subunit ribosomal RNA
Source: RNAcentral